AGCUUCCGGAGCAGCUGGGACUGCUGGCGCCCGCCACUACGCUCGGCUAAUUUUUUUGUGUUUUUAGUAGAGACGGGCUUUCACCGUGUUGGCCUAGCGGUUCUCCAACUCCUGACCUCAUGAUCCCCCCGCCUCAGCCUCCCAAAGUGCUGGGAUUACAAGCGUGAGCCACCGCGACCCGCCAACACUCUUGACAACAGUGCUGUGCUAAGAACUUGGGGGACUUCAAAAAGUUCACCAGUUCCUGUGUCCAUGGGUGAAAAGAUUUUCUACAUCUUUCCUUGACUAGAAACAGAAGUCCUGAAACAAGAAUAUAACGUCAGGAGGCCAGAGGCUUUGUCCUGCCUAAUGUGUUAUUUCCACACUGAAUAAAAGCACCUGAGUCCUGGUAAGUCUAAUUUGCUAGGUGUGGCAAUAUGACCAGUGAAAAACAACAAGGGCAGCAUUUCCUGCAGUUCGGUGGCACAGUAUGGUUCAAAGAGGUAUAAAAGGAAGUCACAGGCAUUUUAAAAAGGUUGUACAUCUAGCAAUACCUAACAAAAUAGGAAAUCAACUUGGAAAGCCAAUGGCUGUGUUUUGAGUUUAUGGAGAGCCAUAUGUGGCAAGGAACUGAGGGUGGCAUCCAGGCAACAGACUUCAAGAAACUGAGGCUGUCAGUCCAACAACCCACAAGAACUGAAUCUGACCAACAAUCACAGGAACAAACUUAGAAGUAUACUCUUUCCCAGACAAACCUUCAGAUGAGACCACAGCCCCAGCCAUAAGCUUGAAAACAAUCUCAUGAGGGACCUUGAGCCACAGGCAUGUAGUAAAGCUAUGCCAGGAAUCCUGCCUGCCCCACAGAAAAUGUAAAAAAAAUAAAUUUUUAUUGUUUUAAGCCACGAA
This 885-nucleotide long non-coding RNA is filed under the name Homo sapiens (human). RNAcentral's name for it is "non-protein coding LINC02327:29". The record is from RNAcentral. Lineage: Eukaryota; Metazoa; Chordata; Mammalia; Primates; Hominidae.